UGUUUGUUUAUGAUGGAGUUCUUCAAGAAACUAUGUAGUUGCGUUUGUAGUAAUAGGUUGUGUAGCGUUAUUGGUGGUGUUUAAGUCAAGGUUAUGUAAGGAGGUAGGUAGAAAAGUAAAACAGAAGACAAGAAGGCAAGCGUGUGAAUCAGUAUCCCCGUACGCGGCGUUUCAUCCUUUUGCGGACUCGUCAGCGGGGAGCAGGGUUGGCUUUGUGUGAAGGAACAAUGAAGAUAAGAAGUGAGUAAAAGUGGUGUGUGUUUGUAGGAGAAUCAUAAAGAAUCAAGGUUAAAGUUAUCAAACCUGCGUGAGAGUGUACUCGUAAAAGGCAAAAUGGUAAAAUUAAACUGUGUGUCUUACCAAAGUUGUUGUUGACUUUAGAUAAACCAACGCGGUGAGCCAUCUCAGGGUUGAUGUGAAAUCGAGUGUAAUUUUACUUAAAAAUUGUUUUGAAUUGCUUGACAGCAGAGCUUGUGUUCGAGCUUGUAUCCGUUCAAGAGACUUGAUCGAAAAGGGGUCAAGGAUUGCACGUGUGUGCAUAAAAUGCGUUAAUAUGUUACGUCACUGAGGUCAGGUGUCAAAGUCUGUGUUGGGGAUAGUGGGGGUUUACGUGUCAAUUAUGGUUGUGUGUGGACAUCCGAGGUUUAAAUGUGUUUUGGUUGUAAGUUGUACUUCAUGUAGUAUGGUUGGUUAUAAUUGUUGAAGUUCCGUUUUAUCACCGUAGUCAUGAAAUAAAAAAUUGGGUUGAAAUGUUUUGGAUUUUUGGCGAGGAAUUACAGAAUUACAGUGCAAUAUCGUCAUCUGUGGGUAGUAAACUACCCCGGGUUCUAAAAACUUCCGUGGGUCGAUGUUCGGCGAUGCAUCAACCGUGAGGGUUUCAAUCGUGAAUAUAAUAGGGUUAUCAAUUUGAGGUAGUCAAGGUUUUUAAGAUAGUUGUGUCAAGGAAGUUGACAGAUUUCUCAGAGAAGGAAAAGUCAAAUUUGAUGGUAUAAGAUUUUCAGGAGCUUGUUGGAGGAGCUCCUGUUCAAGUGCUGCCAUGAAUAUGUUUGCAUAGGUAGGUGCCAUUGGUGAUCCCAUAGCAGUGCCAU
This is a long non-coding RNA of Dendronephthya gigantea, 1088 nucleotides long. RefSeq lists it as uncharacterized. Lineage: Eukaryota; Metazoa; Cnidaria; Anthozoa; Malacalcyonacea; Nephtheidae. The transcript is spliced from 4 exons. The record is from RefSeq and is a predicted model, not a curated record.